RNAcentral lists this ribosomal RNA (225 nucleotides) under uncultured prokaryote. RNAcentral describes it as "partial 16S ribosomal RNA". It matches the Rfam family "Bacterial small subunit ribosomal RNA", at positions 524 to 748 of the family's 1533-position model. The record is from RNAcentral.
UACAGAGGGUGCAAGCGUUAAUCGGAAUUACUGGGCGUAAAGGGUGUGUAGGUGGCGCGCUAAGUCGGGUGUGAAAUUUCGGAGCUUAACUCCGAAACUGCAUUCGAUACUGGCGUGCUUGAGGACUGGAGAGGAGACUGGAAUUUACGGUGUAGCAGUGAAAUGCGUAGAUAUCGUAAGGAAGACCAGUGGCGAAGGCGGGUCUCUGGACAGUUCCUGACACUG